This is a long non-coding RNA of Dermochelys coriacea (leatherback sea turtle), 483 nucleotides long. RefSeq lists it as uncharacterized. The transcript has 4 exons. Lineage: Eukaryota; Metazoa; Chordata; Testudines; Dermochelyidae. The record is from RefSeq and is a predicted model, not a curated record.
CAGGGAGUCUAAGGAGCAAGGAUUGUGUUCCUAGGGGGCUGCAGGAAGGGGGGAAACAUGGAUCGUGGCAUGACUGAAGGGCUGAGUCAUGAAAAAGACAUUGUAGUUCCUGGGCUGAGAUGGAUCUGCAGGUGAAGGCCGCAGGAAAGGCACCACCCAGGAGAGGGCAUGCUGAUGGCAGAGAUCUAAUCCCUGAGACAACCAGCAGGAGGCACUGCUCUGGAGAACCCUCUUUAUCAGGAUUGGCAAAGAGGGACUUGAAGAAACCAAAUUAUCAGAUGAAAAGAUUCAUUUGAUUCCAAGAACCUGGAACCUCCAGUGCCCCUCUCAACUCUUUCUCUGCUUCUUGCUUCUACAGGUCCCUUUCCCUAGAGCAGUGGUUCCCAAACUUGUUCCACCACUUGUGCAGGGAAAGCCCAUAGCAGGCUUUGUUUACCUGCCAUGUCCGCAGGUUCAGCUGAUCGUGGCUCCCAGUGGCCGCCG